This 498-nucleotide ribosomal RNA is filed under the name uncultured bacterium. RNAcentral's name for it is "partial 16S ribosomal RNA". It matches the Rfam family "Bacterial small subunit ribosomal RNA", at positions 29 to 523 of the family's 1533-position model. The record is from RNAcentral.
AUUGAACGCUGGCGGCAUGCUUUACACAUGCAAGUCGAACGGUAACAGGCCGCAAGGUGCUGACGAGUGGCGAGCGGGUGAGUAAUGCAUCGGAACGAGCCCAGUCGUGGGGGAUAACGCAGCGAAAGCUGCGCUAAUACCGCACACGACCGAUGGCUGAAAGCGGGGGACCGUAAGGCAUCGCGCGAUUGGAGCGGACGGUGUCCGGUUAGGUAGUUGGUGAGGUCAAGGCUCACCAAGACAACGAUGUGUAGCAGAUCUGAGAGGACGACAAGCCACCCUGUGACUGAGACACGGCCCAGCCUCCUAGGGGAGGAAGCAGUGGGGAAUUUUGGAGAAAGGGCGCAAGCCUGAUCCAGUUAUGCCGCGUGCAGGAAGAAGGCCUCCGGGUUGUAAGCUGCUUUUGUACGGGACGAAACGGUCCAGGUUAAUACCGUGGGAUAAUGACGGUACGGUAAUAAUAAGCACCGGGUAACUACGUGGCAGCAACCGCAGUAA